AAGUCGUAACAAGGUUUCCGUAGGUGAACCUGCGGAAGGAUCAUUAACAAAUUUUCCAACCUUAAAUGACAUUCUUUUUUUUAAAAGGAAUGUUAUACCCCACAUUUUGCGAACUUUGUUUUACUUUUCAAAUUGAAGAUGUACGGGGAUGAUGGUUUCUUUGGAAACCUCAUUUUCGUUUCUUCUUCAAUUUUUUCUUCUUUUUUUUUUAAAACCCAAAUGAAACCCCUUUUUAGACUGAAACCUCUUUUUUGUUCUUAACGGAACGAAAAAAGAAAAAAAGUAAAAUGAGAAAAACAACUCUUAACAACGGAUAUCUUGGCUCUC
RNAcentral lists this unclassified non-coding RNA (327 nucleotides) under fungal sp. Its description in RNAcentral is "partial internal transcribed spacer region". The stretch from base 1 to 46 matches the Rfam family "Eukaryotic small subunit ribosomal RNA", at positions 1786 to 1831 of the family's 1831-position model. Lineage: Eukaryota; Fungi. The record is from RNAcentral.